GGGUAGAUGACUGAGUUGGUUUAAGGUGUUUCGCUUGAAACGAAAAAGGGUUAUGAAUAACCCUCAUGGGUUCGAAUCCCAUUUUACCCG
This is a non-coding RNA of Mycoemilia scoparia, 90 nucleotides long. Lineage: Eukaryota; Fungi; Kickxellomycota; Kickxellomycetes; Kickxellales; Kickxellaceae. The record is from the annotation of a GenBank genome assembly.